Molecule: long non-coding RNA, 398 nt
Filed under: Pan troglodytes (chimpanzee)
Lineage: Eukaryota; Metazoa; Chordata; Mammalia; Primates; Hominidae
Description: long non-coding RNA NONPTRT005820
Source: RNAcentral
UGAGCUGUGAGGGUGUGACGAUGGGGUGAGCUGUGAGGGUAUGAUGAUGGGGUGACCUGUGAGGAGUGAGGAUGGGGUGGACUUUGAGGGUGUGACGAUGGGGUGAGCUGUGAGGGUGUGACGAUGGGGUGAGCUGUGAGAGUGUGAUGAUGGGGUGGACUGUGAGGGUGUGAUGAUGGGGUGAGCUUUGAGGGUGUGAUGAUGGGGGUGAGCUGUGAGGGUGUGAUGAUGGGGUGAGCUGUGAGGUGUGAUGAUGGGGUGGACUGUGAGGGUGUGAUGAUGGGGUGAGCUGUGACGGUGUGACGAUGGGGUGGACUGUGAGGGUGUGAUGAUGGGGUGAGCUGUGAGGGUGUGAUGAUGGGGUGGGCUGUGAGGGUGUGACGAUGGGGUGAGCUCUG